This 253-nucleotide ribosomal RNA is filed under the name uncultured bacterium. RNAcentral describes it as "partial 16S ribosomal RNA". It matches the Rfam family "Bacterial small subunit ribosomal RNA", at positions 524 to 776 of the family's 1533-position model. The record is from RNAcentral.
UACGUAGGGUGCGAGCGUUAAUCGGAAUUACUGGGCGUAAAGCGUGCGCAGGCGGCUUUGCAAGACAGAUGUGAAAUCCCCGGGCUCAACCUGGGAACUGCAUUUGUGACUGCAAGGCUAGAGUACGGCAGAGGGGGAUGGAAUUCCGCGUGUAGCAGUGAAAUGCGUAGAUAUGCGGAGGAACACCAAUGGCGAAGGCAAUCCCCUGGGCCUGUACUGACGCUCAGGUGCGAAAGCGUGGGGAGCAAACAGG